UUGGGGGGGUGCCUAAUACAUGCAAGUCGAGCGGUAACAGGAGAAAGCUUGCUUUCUUGCUGACGAGCGGCGGACGGGUGAGUAAUGUAUGGGGAUCUGCCCGAUAGAGGGGGAUAACUACUGGAAACGGUGGCUAAUACCGCAUGACGUCUACGGACCAAAGCAGGGGCUCUUCGGACCUUGCGCUAUCGGAUGAACCCAUAUGGGAUUAGCUAGUAGGUGAGGUAAUGGCUCACCUAGGCGACGAUCUCUAGCUGGUCUGAGAGGAUGAUCAGCCACACUGGGACUGAGACACGGUCCAGACUCCUACGGGA
This 314-nucleotide ribosomal RNA is filed under the name swine manure bacterium ASC12. RNAcentral's name for it is "bacterial SSU rRNA". It matches the Rfam family "Bacterial small subunit ribosomal RNA", at positions 37 to 346 of the family's 1533-position model. The record is from RNAcentral.